Molecule: ribosomal RNA, 482 nt
Filed under: uncultured bacterium
Lineage: Bacteria
Description: partial 16S ribosomal RNA
Rfam family: Bacterial small subunit ribosomal RNA
Source: RNAcentral
AUUGAACGCUGGCGACAUGCCUUACACAUGCAAGUCGAACGGUAACGCGGGGGAACCUGGCGACGAGUGGCGAACGGGUGAGUAAUGCAUCGGAACGUGCCCAGAAGUGGGGGAUAGCCCGGCGAAAGCCGGAUUAAUACCGCAUGAGACCUGAGGGUGAAAGCGGGGGAUCGCAAGACCUCGCGCUUUUGGAGCGGCCGAUGUCAGAUUAGGUAGUUGGUGGGGUAAAGGCCUACCAAGGCGACGAUCUGUAGCUGGUCUGAGAGGACGACCAGCCACACUGGUACUGAGACAGUGCCCAGACUCCUACGGGAUGCACCAGUGUAGCAUUUUGAACAAUGGCCACAAGCCUCAUCCACCCAUGCCCCGUGCGGGAAGAAGGCCUUCUGGUUGUAAACCGCUUUUGUCAGGGAAUAAACGCUCUGGGCUAAUACCCUGAGGUAAUAACGGUACCUGAACAAUAAGCACCGGCUAACUACGUG